RNAcentral lists this ribosomal RNA (440 nucleotides) under uncultured bacterium. Its description in RNAcentral is "partial 16S ribosomal RNA". It matches the Rfam family "Bacterial small subunit ribosomal RNA", at positions 338 to 795 of the family's 1533-position model. The record is from RNAcentral.
CCUACGGGAGGCAGCAGUGGGGGAUAUUGCACAAUGGGGGGAACCCUGAUGCAGCGACGCCGCGUGGGUGAAGAAGGGCCUCGGCGCGUAAAGCCCUGUCAGCAGGGAAGAAAAGGACGGUACCUGAAGAAGAAGCCCCGGCUAACGACGUGCCAGCAGCCGCGGUAAUACGUAGGGGGCAAGCGUGAUCCGGAUUUACUGGGGGGAAAGGGGGCGCAGACGGCGUUGCAGGCCAGGAGUGAAAGCCCGGGGCCCACCCCCGGGACUGCUCUUGGAACUGCGUGGCUGGAGUGCAGGAGGGGCAGGCGGAAUUCCUGGUGUAGCGGUGAAAUGCGUAGAUAUCAGGAGGAACACCGGUGGCGAAGGCGGCCUGCUGGACUGCAACUGACGUUGAGGCCCGAAAGCGUGGGGAGCAAACAGGAUUAGAUACCCUUGUAGUC